ACAGUAGUCCCAAAAAAUUAUAUAGACCCAGGUCAACUCAAAGUUAACUCUAUUACGAGGAUGAAAUCAGUGACGGUACUGUUCCUGGCAGCUGUGUGCAUUUUCCAGCUUCUCAACAUUGAAGCUGCAUUGAUACAAUAUGGACCAAAUUCAAACCGAAGACCUGGGGGAUGCUAUGAUGAAAGGGUCGGGCAUUUAAAAGCUGGAGCUGAAGCACCAGUGCCUGGGGCAUGUGAAAAAAUGACUUGUGAUGUUUCAGGAUCUGGAUGGAUGCAACAUAUCAGUUGUGGUGUUGCACUCGUAAACAAGCCAAACUGUGUCGACAUCCCGGAGGACCUCAACAAGCCUUACCCACAGUGCUGUGCAGUCAAAUGUAUCACACGAUAAUAAUAAAAUAAAUCAACUUGUUCCACACAAUUUUAUACAAAGAUAAAUUAAUAAAAAAUUCGCGCAAA
This is an RNA transcript of Tribolium castaneum (red flour beetle), 455 nucleotides long. RefSeq lists it as uncharacterized. The transcript has 3 exons. NCBI's taxonomy places the organism in Eukaryota, Metazoa, Arthropoda, Insecta, Coleoptera, Tenebrionidae. The record is from RefSeq and is a predicted model, not a curated record.